Molecule: ribosomal RNA, 253 nt
Filed under: uncultured bacterium
Lineage: Bacteria
Description: partial 16S ribosomal RNA
Rfam family: Bacterial small subunit ribosomal RNA
Source: RNAcentral
UACGGGGGGGGCAAGCGUUGUUCGGAAUUACUGGGCGUAAAGGGCUCGUAGGCGGCCAAUUAAGUCAGACGUGAAAUCCCUCGGCUCAACUGGGGAACUGCGUCUGAUACUGGAUGGCUUGAGUGUGGGAGAGGGAUGCGGAAUUCCAGGUGUAGCGGUGAAAUGCGUAGAUAUCUGGAGGAACACCGGUGGCGAAGGCGGCAUCCUGGACCACGACUGACGCUGAGGAGCGAAAGCUAGGGGAGCGAACAGG